Molecule: ribosomal RNA, 1434 nt
Filed under: metagenome
Description: bacterial SSU rRNA
Rfam family: Bacterial small subunit ribosomal RNA
Source: RNAcentral
GGGUGAGUAAUGCGUAGGUAACCUCCCCGCGAGAGGGGGACAACCCCGCGAAAGUGGGGCUAAUACCGCGUAAUGCUUUCUGGACGGAUGUGCGGGAAGUUAAAGGUGCCCCGAUUCCGAAUCGGGGUGCCGCUCGCGGAGGGGCUUACGUCCUAUCAGCUAGUUGGUGAGGUAACGGCCCACCAAGGCGACGACGGGUAACCGGGCUGAGAGGCUGUCCGGUCACACUGGCACUGAGACACUGGCCAGACUCCUACGGGAGGCUGCAGUCGAGAAUCUUCCGCAAUGGGCGAAAGCCUGACGGAGCGACGCCGCGUGGAGGACGAAGGCCUUCGGGUUGUAAACUCCUGUCAGAGGUUAAGAAAGCGAUUCACGUGAUAAGCGUGGACCGUUGACAAAAGCCUUAGAGGAAGCACCGGCUAACUACGUGCCAGCAGCCGCGGUAACACGUAGGGUGCAAACGUUGUUCGGAAUUACUGGGCAUAAAGGGUCUGUAGGCGGCCGGAGAAGUCAGGUGUGAAAUCCCCCGGCUCAACCGGGGAACGGCGCCUGAAACUCUUCGGCUUGAGCAGAGUAGGGGAGAGUGGAAUUCUCGGUGGAGCGGUGAAAUGCGUAGAUACCGAGAGGAACGCCGGUGGCGAAAGCGACUCUCUGGGCUCUUGCUGUCGCUGAGGGACGAAAGCCAGGGGAGCAAACGGGAUUAGAUACCCCGGUAGUCCUGGCCCUAAACGAUGGACACUAAGUAGGGGGGGUUCCGAAACUUUCUCUGCUGUAGCGAAUGCGUUAAGUGUCCCGCCUGGGAAGUACGGUCGCAAGGCUAAAACUCAAAAGAAUUGACGGGGGCUCGCACAAGCGGUGGAGUAUGUGGUUCAAUUCGAAGCAACGCGAAGAACCUUACCAGGGCUUGACAUGUACGAAGUAGGGGCCUGAAAGGGUACCCGACCGGUAUCCAGUCCGGGACGUACACAGGUGUUGCAUGGCUGUCGUCAGCUCGUGUCGUGAGAUGUUGGGUUAAGUCCCCUAACGAGCGAAACCCUUGUCCUUAGUUGCCAUCGGGAAAGCCGGGCACUCUAAGGAGACUGCCGGUGCUAAACCGGAGGAAGGUGGGGACGACGUCAAGUCAUCAUGGCCCUUAUGCCCUGGGCGACACACGUACUACAAUGGCCGGUACAAAGAGAAGCUAAGCCGCGAGGUAGAGCAAAUCUCAAAAAGCUGGCCCCAGUUCGGAUCGAAGGCUGCAACUCGCCUUCGUGAAGUUGGAAUCGCUAGUAAUCGCAGAUCAGCCACGCUGCGGUGAAUGUGUUCCCGAGCCUUGUACACACCGCCCGUCAAGCCACGAGAGCUGGUCGGACCCGAAGUCCGUCACCCAACCCCUCACGGGGAGGAAACGGCCGAAGGUAAGGUCAGUGAUUGGGACUAAGUCGUAACGAGGUA